Ictalurus punctatus (channel catfish) is the source of this 1237-nucleotide long non-coding RNA. RefSeq lists it as uncharacterized. The transcript is spliced from 3 exons. The record is from RefSeq and is a predicted model, not a curated record. Lineage: Eukaryota; Metazoa; Chordata; Actinopteri; Siluriformes; Ictaluridae.
GAGAGUCAUUUAGUUCUGUACAGACAGAAUCUCAGGUGUACAGGUGUGAUUAAACUCUCAGAGUGCUGCUAUGACGCUCGUCUAAAAUCCAGCAAUAGGAGGACGACAAACUCAAGGGAAAGCUACAGAUACAAUUUAAAGAAACAAAACAUGUUUUCUCUACCAGCUGAGGAUCUUCAUUGUAUAAUCUGACAUGGAGAACACACGCAGUCUGAUAUAGAAGUCGGACGAGAUUUGUUCAUCUGAAAACGUUGGACUUUUACAGCGUUAAACUGGCUUUACCGUUCCUCCUCUCAGUGAGUGAAUAUUUAAUGAGUGGAAAUGGUCCCGGCUGCAGCGGGUGAUAAAUUCAGGACUGUAACUGUAAAAGGUAAAAACUCACCUUGCUGCCGUGGGAGAGAGGCGCCGAAUGACAACGAGGCUUUUAAUGCCUUCAUAUGCUGCCUUCAUAGGGACCCUCCUGAGUGCACUAAUGAUAUGCUGAAGCAUUUUGAAGCAUCAUAUCUCGCACCUCACGCAGAAUAUACGCCGCUAAAAUGCCAAAACCAAUUAAAAGUCUGACGCCACCUGCAGUAAAAUAAUUUCAUAUUUAACGCUGCGUAAAAAAAAUGAUAAUCAUAAAGAAGUAAUUAUCCUGAAGUAAAUAAAUGAGUGCGGAGUAAGUGAAAUUUCUCAGUGGGAUAAUUAAAAUUUUCAGUAAAGCGUAAUUGCGUUGAGGAAGUUCUGUUUGAAGUGAGGGAUAAUGAACACGACUUGGCUUCAGGUGUUCAGCGCUGUUCACGUCAAAGUCUGGCAGGAUUAACGUCAAUUAAUCCACUGUGUUCGUACCGAGGCUGAAGAAAAGCUGCUCAGGAUGACAAAGCGUCACAUUCAGUUACGGCAGUCUGAGCUGAGCUAUAAAACAGCCGAGACACAAACGAGCGCAGAGACGGAAACGAACGUAGAGACGGAAACGAGCGAGGAGACGGAAACGAGCGAGGAGACGGAAACGGGCCAAGAGAUGGAAACGAUGGCUGAGACGGAAACGAUGGCGGAGACGGAAAUGAGCGCGGAGACGGAAACGAUCAAGGAGACGGAAACAAGUGCGGAGAUGGAAACGAGCGAGGAGACGGAAACGAUGGCGGAGACGGAAAUGAGCGAGGAGACGGAAACAAGUGCGGAGAUGGAAACGAGCGAGGAGACGGAAACGAUGGCGGAGACGGAAACGAGCGAGGAGACGGAAACGAGCGAGGAGACG